GAUGAACGCUGGCGGCGUGCUUAACACAUGCAAGUCGAACGGAAAGGCCACAGCUUGCUGUGGUACUCGAGUGGCGAACGGGUGAGUAACACGUGGGUGAUCUGCCCUGUACUUCGGGAUAAGCUUGGGAAACUGGGUCUAAUACCGGAUAGGAAUCACAUGUGGGUGUGUGGUUGGAAAGCUUUUGCGGUAUGGGAUGAGCUCGCGGCCUAUCAGCUUGUUGGUGGGGUAAUGGCCUACCAAGGCGUCGACGGGUAGCCGGCCUUAGAGGGUGUACGGCCACAUUGGGACUGAGAUACGGCCCAGACUCCUACGGGAGGCAGCAGUGGGGAAUAUUGCACAAUGGGCGCAAGCCUGAUGCAGCGACGCCGCGUGGGGGAUGACGGCCUUCGGGUUGUAAACUCCUUUCGUCAGGGACGAAGCGAAAGUGACGGUACCUGGAUAAGAAGCACCGGCUAACUACGUG
RNAcentral lists this ribosomal RNA (466 nucleotides) under uncultured bacterium. RNAcentral describes it as "partial 16S ribosomal RNA". It matches the Rfam family "Bacterial small subunit ribosomal RNA", at positions 28 to 507 of the family's 1533-position model. The record is from RNAcentral.